UACGUAGGUGGCGAGCGUUAUCCGGAUUUAUUGGGUUUAAAGGGUGCGUAGGCGGACUGUCAAGUCAGCGGUAAAAUUGAGAGGCUCAACCUCUUCCCGCCGUUGAAACUGGUGGUCUUGAGUGGAUGAGAAGUACGCGGAAUGCGUGGUGUAGCGGUGAAAUGCAUAGAUAUCACGCAGAACUCCGAUUGCGAAGGCAGCGUACCGGCAUCCAACUGACGCUGAGGCACGAAAGCGUGGGGAUCAAACAGG
This 252-nucleotide ribosomal RNA is filed under the name uncultured bacterium. RNAcentral describes it as "partial 16S ribosomal RNA". It matches the Rfam family "Bacterial small subunit ribosomal RNA", at positions 524 to 776 of the family's 1533-position model. The record is from RNAcentral.